Molecule: ribosomal RNA, 109 nt
Filed under: Octodon degus (degu)
Lineage: Eukaryota; Metazoa; Chordata; Mammalia; Rodentia; Octodontidae
Source: RNAcentral
GUCUACAGCCAUACCACCCUGAACGUGCCCAAUCUCACCUGAUCUCGGAAGCUAAACAGGGUCGGGUCUGGUUAGUACUUGGAUGGGAGAGGAACCAGAUGAGUAAAGA